UGCAGUCGAGCGAACAGAUGAGAAGCUUGCUUCUCUGAUGUUAGCGGCGGACGGGUGAGUAACACGUGGGUAACCUACCUAUAAGACUGGGAUAACUCCGGGAAACCGGGGCUAAUACCGGAUAAUAUUUUGAACCGCAUGGUUCAAUAGUGAAAGACGGUUUCGGCUGUCACUUAUAGAUGGACCCGCGCCGUAUUAGCUAGUUGGUAAGGUAACGGCUUACCAAGGCGACGAUACGUAGCCGACCUGAGAGGGUGAUCGGCCACACUGGAACUGAGACACGGUCCAGACUCCUACGGGAGGCAGCAGUAGGGAAUCUUCCGCAAUGGGCGAAAGCCUGACGGAGCAACGCCGCGUGAGUGAUGAAGGUCUUCGGAUCGUAAAACUCUGUUGUUAGGGAAGAACAAAUUUGUUAGUAACUGAACAAGUCUUGACGGUACCUAACCAGAAAGCCACGGCUAACUACGUGCCAGCAGCCGCGGUAAUACGUAGGUGGCAAGCGUUAUCCGGAAUUAUUGGGCGUAAAGCGCGCGUAGGCGGUUUCUUAAGUCUGAUGUGAAAGCCCACGGCUCAACCGUGGAGGGUCAUUGGAAACUGGGAAACUUGAGUGCAGAAGAGGAGAGUGGAAUUCCAUGUGUAGCGGUGAAAUGCGCAGAGAUAUGGAGGAACACCAGUGGCGAAGGCGGCUCUCUGGUCUGUAACUGACGCUGAUGUGCGAAAGCGUGGGGAUCAAACAGGAUUAGAUACCCUGGUAGUCCACGCCGUAAACGAUGAGUGCUAAGUG
RNAcentral lists this ribosomal RNA (784 nucleotides) under Mammaliicoccus sciuri. RNAcentral's name for it is "bacterial SSU rRNA". It matches the Rfam family "Bacterial small subunit ribosomal RNA", at positions 56 to 822 of the family's 1533-position model. The record is from RNAcentral. Lineage: Bacteria; Bacillati; Bacillota; Bacilli; Caryophanales; Staphylococcaceae.